Molecule: ribosomal RNA, 251 nt
Filed under: uncultured prokaryote
Description: partial 16S rRNA
Rfam family: Bacterial small subunit ribosomal RNA
Source: RNAcentral
ACGUAGGGUGCAAGCAUUAAUCGGAAUUAUUGGGCGUAAAGGGCGCGUAGGCGGAUAGUCGAGUCUUGUGUGAAAUUUCGGGGCUCAACCUCGAAGCGGCACAGGAAACUCGCUGGCUUGGGGGUAGACGGAGAGAACGGAAUUCCAGAAGUAGGAGUGCAAUGCUGUAAUCCGUGGGGGAACACCUGUGGCGAAGGCGUCUCACUAGGUUGGCUCCGACAGUGAGGCGCGAAAGCGGGGGGAGCAAACAG